UAAGCCAUGCAUGUGUAAGUAUAAGCAAAUAUAUACUGUGAAACUGCGAAUGGCUCAUUAAAUCAGUUAUCGUUUAUUUGAUGGUAUCUUACUACUUGGAUAACCGUGGUAAUUCUAGAGCUAAUACAUGCUAAAAACUCCGACUUACGAAGGAGUGUAUUUAUUAGAUAUUAAACCAAUAUUCUUCGGAAUUUCUGGUGAUUCAUAAUAACUUUUCGCAGCGCAUAGCAUUAAGCUGGUGCGAGAUCAUUCAAAUACCUGCCCUAUCAAGUUUCGAUGUGAGGGUAGUGUCCUCACAUGCUUUUGACGGGUAACGGGGAAUUAGGGUUCGACUCCGGAGAGGGAGCCUGAGAAACGGCUACCACAUCCAAGGAAGGCAGCAGGCGCGCAAAUUACCCAAUCCCAACAUGGGGAGGUAGUGACAAGAAAUACUGAUAUAGGGUCCUAUAGGAUCUUGUAAUUGGAAUGAGUACAAUUUAAACCCAUUA
Molecule: ribosomal RNA, 488 nt
Filed under: Gloeandromyces pageanus f. polymorphus
Lineage: Eukaryota; Fungi; Ascomycota; Laboulbeniomycetes; Laboulbeniales; Laboulbeniaceae
Description: SSU rRNA
Rfam family: Eukaryotic small subunit ribosomal RNA
Source: RNAcentral